UUGGGGUGCCGAGGGGCACUCAUGAAUAGGGUGCGAUGGGCUAGAACAGAUAGCACACACUUGUGCUUGGGACGAGCUAACGAUAUGUCCUCCUAUCAUCAAUUGAUCAAUCUUAUGGGACAAUGCAUCUACCUUGCUAGACAGGUCCAUGGAAUGACUUAUUUCACAAAUGGUCCCUUUUCUUUGAGAACUCGGGGGUACUUGACGAGAACAGGAAGCAUGGUGGAGGGAGUUUUCAUUAGGAUUUUCAAAUAAUUGCCAUGCUUCAUGCUCAUUUUGAAGCAUAAAAGUUCCCCCGCAUGCAGCAUCGAUCAUCUGACGGUUUCGUUCAGUCAAUCCGUCAU
This 344-nucleotide long non-coding RNA is filed under the name Phoenix dactylifera (date palm). RNAcentral's name for it is "long non-coding RNA (PDAC_LNC014502)". The record is from RNAcentral. Lineage: Eukaryota; Viridiplantae; Streptophyta; Magnoliopsida; Arecales; Arecaceae.